This 253-nucleotide ribosomal RNA is filed under the name uncultured bacterium. RNAcentral's name for it is "partial 16S ribosomal RNA". It matches the Rfam family "Bacterial small subunit ribosomal RNA", at positions 524 to 776 of the family's 1533-position model. The record is from RNAcentral.
UACAGAGGGGGCAAGCGUUGUUCGGAAUUACUGGGCGUAAAGGGCGCGUAGGCGGCCCGCUAAGUCGAACGUGAAAUCCCCGGGCUCAACCCGGGAACUGCGUCCGAUACUGGCAGGCUUGAAUCCGGGAGAGGGAUGCGGAAUUCCAGGUGUAGCGGUGAAAUGCGUAGAUAUCUGGAGGAACACCGGUGGCGAAGGCGGCAUCCUGGACCGGUAUUGACGCUGAGGCGCGAAAGCGUGGGGAGCAAACAGG